Molecule: non-coding RNA, 120 nt
Organism: Cordylochernes scorpioides
Lineage: Eukaryota; Metazoa; Arthropoda; Arachnida; Pseudoscorpiones; Chernetidae
Source: the annotation of a GenBank genome assembly
AUGGCGAUACCACGUUGAAAAAAAAACACCGGUUCUCGUCCAAUUAUCGAAAUUAAGCAAAGUCGGACCUGGUCAGUAUUUGGGAGGGUGACCACUUGGUAACACCAGAUGCUGUAGGCU